RNAcentral lists this ribosomal RNA (440 nucleotides) under uncultured bacterium. Its description in RNAcentral is "partial 16S ribosomal RNA". It matches the Rfam family "Bacterial small subunit ribosomal RNA", at positions 338 to 795 of the family's 1533-position model. The record is from RNAcentral.
CCUACGGGAGGCAGCAGUGGGGAAUAUUGCGCAAUGGGGGAAACCCUGAUGCAGCGACGCCGCGUGAGUGAAGAAGGAUCUCGGUAUGUAAAGCUCUAUCAUCAGGGACGAAAAUGACGGUAGCUGACUAAGAAUCCCCGGCUAACUACUUGCCAGCAGCCGCGGUAAUACGGCGGGGGCAAGCGUUAUCCGGAUUUACUGGGUGGAAAGGGAGCGUAGGCGGCAGAACAAGUGAGAAGUGAAAUCCCAGGGCUUAACCCCGGAACUGCUUUGGAAACUGUGCGGCUGGAGUGCUGGAGAGGCAAGCGGAAUUCCUAGUGUAGCGGUGAAAGGCGUAGAGAUUAGGAGGAACACCAGUGGCGAAGGCGGCCUGCUGGACUGUAACUGACGCUGAGGCUCGAAAGCGUGGGGAGCAAACAGGAUUAGAUACCCUAGUAGUC